Molecule: ribosomal RNA, 495 nt
Filed under: uncultured bacterium
Lineage: Bacteria
Description: partial 16S ribosomal RNA
Rfam family: Bacterial small subunit ribosomal RNA
Source: RNAcentral
GACGAACGCUGGCGGCGUGCCUAAUACAUGCAAGUAGAACGCUGAAGGAGGAGCUUGCUUCUCCGGAUGAGUUGCGAACGGGUGAGUAACGCGUAGGUAACCUGCCUGGUAGCGGGGGAUAACUAUUGGAAACGAUAGCUAAUACCGCAUAAGAGUAGAUGUCGCAUGACAUUUGCUUAAAAGGUGCAACUGCACCACUACCAGAUGGACCUGCGUUGUAUUAGCUAGUUGGUGAGGUAACGGCUCACCAAGGCAACGAUACAUAGCCGACCUGAGAGGGUGAUCGGCCACACUGGGACUGAGACACGGCCCAGACUCCUACGGGAGGCAGCAGUAGGGAAUCUUCGGCAAUGGACGGAAGUCUGACCGAGCAACGCCGCGGGAGUGAAGAAGGUUUUCGGAUCGUAAAGCUCUGUUGUAAGAGAAGAACGAGUGUGAGAGUGGAAAGUUCACACUGUGACGGUAUCUUACCAGAAAGGGACGGCUAACUACGUG